RNAcentral lists this RNase P RNA (390 nucleotides) under Cryobacterium sp. MLB-32. RNAcentral describes it as "bacterial RNase P". It matches the Rfam family "Bacterial RNase P class A". From Rfam's summary of the family: Ribonuclease P (RNase P) is a ubiquitous endoribonuclease, found in archaea, bacteria and eukarya as well as chloroplasts and mitochondria. Lineage: Bacteria; Bacillati; Actinomycetota; Actinomycetes; Micrococcales; Microbacteriaceae. The record is from RNAcentral.
UGGGUCGGCAAGACGGUCGCGUCAUUCUGUGCCUGGGGAAUUCGUUUCCGGGGCGCAGGAUGCCGAGGAACGUCCGGGCUCCAGAGAGCAGGACGGUGGGUAACACCCACCCGGGGUAACCCGCGAGACAGUGCCACAGAAAGUAGACCGCCCUCGGCCUCGGCCGGGGGUAAGGGUGAAACGGUGGUGUAAGAGACCACCAGAGGCCAGGGCGACCUGGUCGGCUAGGUAAACCUCGUCCGGAGCAAGGUCAGACAGAAAGCGCUAAGGCUGCUCGCCGAGCUUUCGGGUAGACCGCUAGAGGGCUGCGGCAACGUAGUCCCAAGAUAGAUGGCCGUCCAUGGCACUUCGGUGCCGGGACAGAACCCGGCGUACCAGCCGGCCCAUUCC